This 253-nucleotide ribosomal RNA is filed under the name uncultured bacterium. RNAcentral's name for it is "partial 16S ribosomal RNA". It matches the Rfam family "Bacterial small subunit ribosomal RNA", at positions 524 to 776 of the family's 1533-position model. The record is from RNAcentral.
AACGUAGGAGACAAACGUUAUCCGGAGUUACUGGGCGUAAAGGGCGUGCAGGCGGUUGAUUAAGUCUAGCGUGAAAGCUCCCGGCUAAACCGGGAGAGGUCGUUGGAUACUGGUUGACUAGAGGACGGUAGAGGCGAGUGGAAUUCCGGGUGUAGUGGUGAAAUGCGUAGAGAUCCGGAGGAACACCAGUGGCGAAGGCGACUCGCUGGGCCGUACCUGACGCUAAGACGCGACAGCAUGGGGAGCGAACAGG